GGUUAAAGGUACCCGUACCGCAAACCGACACAGGUGGGUGAGGAGAGUAUCCUAAGGCCAGCGAGAGAACUGUUGUUAAGGAACUCGGCAAAAUGACCCCGUAACUUAGGGAUAAGGGGUGCCACCAUCAGGUGGCCGCAGAGAAUAGGCCCAAGCGACUGUUUACCAAAAACAUAGGUUUCUGCUAAGUCGCAAGACGAUGUAUAGGAGCUGACGCCGGCCCGGUGCUGGAAGGUUAAGGGGAUCUGUUAGAGCAAUCGAAGCAGUGAACUUAAGCCCCAGUAAACGGCGGCCGUAACUAUAACGGUCCUAAGGUAGCGAAAUUCCUUGUCGGGUAAGUGCCGACCCGCACGAAAGGCGUAACGAUUUGGGCACUGUCUCAACAACAGACUCGGUGAAAUUGUAAUUCCGGUGAAGAUGCCGGAUACCUGCGACAGGACGGAAAGACCCCAUGGAGCUUUACUGUAG
RNAcentral lists this ribosomal RNA (468 nucleotides) under Clostridioides difficile. Its description in RNAcentral is "bacterial LSU rRNA". It matches the Rfam family "Bacterial large subunit ribosomal RNA", at positions 1630 to 2109 of the family's 2925-position model. Lineage: Bacteria; Bacillati; Bacillota; Clostridia; Peptostreptococcales; Peptostreptococcaceae. The record is from RNAcentral.